UCUAUGGGGCUCUAUGGGGUCUCUAUGGGGCUCUACGGGGUGUCUAUGGGGCUCUACGGGGUGUCUAUGGGGCUCUAUGGGGUGUCUAUGGGGCUCUAUGGGGUGUCUAUGGAGCUCUAUGGGGUGUCUUUGUGGCUCUAUGGGGUGUCUAUGGGGCUCUGUGGGGCUCUAUGGGGCUCUAUGGGGUGUCUCUGUGGCUCUAUGGGGUGUCUCUGUGGCUCUAUGGGGUGUCUAUGGGGCUCUAUGUGGUGUCUAUGGGGCUCUAUGAGGUCUCUAUGGGGUCCCUAUGUGUCCCUAUGUGUCCCUAUGGGUCCCUAUGUGUCUCUAUGGGGCAGGAGGCCAUGCCGUCCCCGCAGGCUGUGGGUCUGUUCAGCAGCGAUGACCCCACGUGGGGUCCCUAUGGGUCCCUAUGGGUCCCUAUGGGUCCCUAUGUGUCCCUAUGGGUCUCUAUGGGUCCCUAUGUGUCCGUAUGGGGUCCCUAUGUGUCCCUAUGGGCUCUAUGGGGUCCCUAUGGGAUUGAUUGGAUCUCUAUGGAGUCUCUAUGGGGGUUCAAUGGGCCCUAUGGGGCCGCUAUAGGGUGUCUAUGGGACUCUAUGGGUCUCUAUGGGGUGUUUAUGGGGUCCCUAUGGGUCUCUAUGUGUCCCUAUGGGUCUCUAUGUGUCCCUAUGGGUCUCUAUGUGUCCCUAUGGGUCCCUAUGUGUCCCUAUGGGUCCCUAUGAAUCUCUAUGUGUCCCUAUGUGUCCCUAUGGGUCCCUAUGUGUCCCUAUGGGUCCCUAUGUGUCCCUAUGGGUCCCUAUGUUUCCCUAUGUGUCUCUAUGGGUCCCUAUGUGUCCCUAUGGGUCCCUAUGUGUCCCUAUGGGUCCCUAUGUGUCUCUAUGGGUCCCUAUGUGUCUCUAUGGGUCCCUAUGUGUCUCUAUGGGUCCCUAUGGGUCUCUAUGGGUCUCUAUGGGGUCUCUAUGGGUCUCUAUGGGUCUCUAUGGGGUAUCUAUGGGUCUUUAUGGGUCUCUAUGGGGUCUCUAUGGGUCUCUAUGGGUCCCUAUGGGUCUCUAUGGGGUCCCUAUGGGUCUGUAUGGGUCCCUAUGUAUCCCUAUGGGUCCCUAUGGGGUAUUUAUGGGGUCUCUAUGGGUCCCUAUGUGUCUCUAUGGGGUAUCUAUGUGUCCCUAUGGGUCUCAAUGGGUCUCUAUGUGUCCCUAUGGGUCUCUAUGGGUCUCUAUGGGUCCCUAUGGGUCCCUAUGGGUCCCUAUGGGGUAUUUAUGGGUCUCUAUGUGUCCCUAUGUGUCUCUAUGGGGCAGGAGGCCAUGCCGUCCCCUCCGGCCGUGGGGCUGUUCAGCAGCGAUGACCCCACGCGGCGCUUCCAGGACCUCAGGGAGGUCGGCCGGGGCAGCUUCGGAGCCGUGUUCAGGGCCCGUGACACGUGCACCAAUGAGGUGGUGGCAGUCAAGAAGAUGUCCUAUGGCGGCAAGCACAGCAACGAGGUGGGAUAGGGGGGGAUAUAGGGGGAUAUGGGGUUUAUAUAUGGGGGAUAUAGAGGGGGAUAUAGGGGAUAAUGGGCGGGAUAUGAAGGGGGAAUAGGGGUCGUAUGGGGUUUAUAUAGGGGGAUACUGCGGGUUAUAUAUGCGGGGAUAUGGGGGGAUAUAGGGGGGGAUUGGGGUUAUAAUAAGGGUAAUAAGGGGGAUAUAUGGGGGAGAUAUAGGGUCAUAAUGGGGAUAUAUGGGGUUAUGAGGGAUCUAUAUGGGUUAACCAGGGGAUGCCCCGCUGGGGUUUAUAUGGGGGGAAUUGGGGUUAUAUGGGGGAUAUAGGGUUCAUAUCGCGUUACUAUGGGGGGAUAUGGCUAUAUCCAGCUAGGAUAUGGAUUAUAUAGUGGGAUAUGGGGUUAUAUGGGGGGAUAUAGGGGAUAUGGGGGGGGAUAUAGGGUGGAUAUAGGGGAAUAUCCGGGGGGAAUAUGGGGAUAAUCAAACAUAAAACAUACAAAAAAAGCAAACAAAAACAACCAAAAAAAAAAAAAAUUUAAAAGAACCUUAAAAAAAAAAGAAACAAAUAAAAACUAAGAAAAAAAAAAAUUAAACA
RNAcentral lists this long non-coding RNA (2067 nucleotides) under Coturnix japonica (Japanese quail). RNAcentral's name for it is "lncRNA (ENSCJPG00005001548.1)". The record is from RNAcentral. Lineage: Eukaryota; Metazoa; Chordata; Aves; Galliformes; Phasianidae.